Molecule: non-coding RNA, 3801 nt
Organism: Caretta caretta (loggerhead turtle)
Lineage: Eukaryota; Metazoa; Chordata; Testudines; Cheloniidae
Source: RefSeq, a predicted model, not a curated record
CGGCGGGGGCAGGGCGGCGCGCUGACAGACAGCUGGGCUUUCCUGUGUAAACAGGAGCCGGGCAGGAGCUGAGAGUCCGGGUCCGUUCCGGCCGGCAGGAGCCGCGCAGCCCCCCGCAGGAGCAGCCCGCCGCCCGCCUCGGCCAUGGGUAGCAGCCGGCCUGGGCCCAGUGCGGAGCAGCGAGGUGUAACGCCCAGCAAUGGCACUAAAUGAGUCCUGCAUCAAAGACUCCUUCCUUUAAAUGAGAGGACCAAACAGGACGGUGUGAUGAACAUGCCACUGCAUCAGAUCUCUGUAAUUCCAGCUCGGGAUGUCACCUCUUCCAGAGUCUCUAGGAGCAAGACCAAAGAAAAAGAGAGAGAGGAACAGCUGAAGUGGACUGUUGUACACCUAUUUGCACCCGUACUUCAAAAUGUCGCUACUAUAGAUGAAGUUCCCCAGAAUGAGAAGGCUUUGGGACAUUCCAUGAGCCGUUCCAGUAACAUCUCAAAGGCUGGCAGUCCAACCUCCAUUUCGGCUCCUCAUAGCUUCUCUCGGACUUCUGUUACACCAUCCAAUCAGGACAUCUGCAGUUCCAGUGCAGUGUUUUCUGAAUGUUGUCAUCACAGUCCAGUGCAGUCUGCUGUUGUCUUGAAAAAUCCUCACUGCCAGAAUUCUCUGACACAAGGGGUCACAGUGACAAUACUCUGUCAGGACACAUUACAGGCAUCAAAGAGAAACUCCCAUGGGCAGGAUUGGGUCCAUGUGCUCGAGUCUGCUAAAAAUGCAAAAGCCACCCGAGCUCUUAAAUUCUCCAAGUCCCUCAACGACAUGGACCAGAAGUCACAGAGCACCAUGGAGGGCUCUAAGUAUGGGGAGCGAACAUGCUCUGAAAGCAAACUGACCCCGCCACAGGAGCAGUGUUUAAGGAUUAACAGAUUUAAUCAGAAAGAGAAGAAAUCGCUCAAUCUCAGGCCUUCUUUUAGCAAUUCUAAGCACUCCUACAUGCCAUCUCUUUCCACCACCUACGUGAGCGCUUCGGGAGUAGCCAAGAACCACUGUGCGGUGCAUAUACCUCUCCUGGAGGACAAGGUGGACAAUGAGACAUCAUCAAGAAGCAAAAAUCUGCUGCACUACCUCUUCUCCUUCUCCCACAGCUCAAGUGCCAGCAGCCUGCAUAAGUUCCAUGAACUAGAGAGCUAUCCGAGCCACUUCCAAACUGCAAAGUCCUCCAGCAUGCUGGUGGAAAGCCCUGGCUUCUGCUCUGAUGACAUGGGGGACGACGACGUAUUUGAGGACAGUGCCUCCGUGAGGUUGAAAGGAAAAGAGCUGCGGGCACCACUCUGUUCAGUUGAGAAAGACAGUGACCUAGACUGCCCUUCUCCCCUGUCAGAAAAAUUCCCCCCUCUUUCCCCUCUGUCCACGUCGGGGGAUGCCUGCAGGAUAUGUCACUGUGAAGGAGAUGACGAGAGCCCCUUGAUUACCCCCUGUCACUGCACAGGAAGUCUUCAUUUUGUGCACCAAGCUUGCCUGCAGCAGUGGAUCAAGAGCUCAGACACCCGAUGUUGUGAACUCUGCAAGUAUGAGUUCAUCAUGGAGACCAAAUUAAAGCCCCUACGAAAGUGGGAGAAGUUGCAGAUGACGGCCAGUGAGAGGAGGAAGAUCAUGUGCUCUGUAACAUUCCAUAUCAUUGCCAUCACCUGCGUCGUGUGGUCUCUGUAUGUCCUUAUAGACAGGACUGCUGAAGAGAUUAAACAGGGACAGACUACUGCAUGGAGAAAGGUGUCUGGAAAUGGGAAGCUGCCACCUGGCCCUGUUGCUUUUCCCAUCAUAGGGAACACGCUGCAGCUGAAUAUGAGGAACUUGCCCCAGUCUAUACAUGAGCUCAGUGCAAAGUAUGGCCCGGUUUUCACAAUAUGCUUAGGCUCACAGCGGGUUGUGGUGCUGUAUGGACAGGAGGCUGUGAAGGAAGCUCUGAUUGAUCAAGGGGAUGAGUUCAGUGGAAGAGGAAAACUAGCACUGGUUGACAAGCUUGCCAAAGGAGCAGGCAUUAUAUUCAGCAAUGGGGAACGGUGGAAGCAGCUUCGCCGAUUUGCCCUCACCACGCUCAGAAAUUUUGGGAUGGGGAAGAAAAGCAUUGAGGAACGGAUCCAGGAGGAAGCCUGUUUUCUGGUGGAAAGGCUCAAAAAAACAUACGAGCGACCCUUUGACCCAACCAUCCCUCUCACCCAUGCUGUCUCCAACAUCAUCUGCUCCAUUGUCUUUGGGAACCGGUUUGACUAUGAAGAUCAGAAGUUUCUGGCAUUCAUUAAUCUCACAGAGGAAAACAAUGAACUCUUCCGCUCUUUCCUGGGACAGCUGUACAAUUUUUUCCCAACUCUCAUGGAUUAUAUACCUGGGCCACACCAGCAGUUAGUUAAAAAUUCGGAGGAGUUUAAAAGAUUUGUUCUGGAGAGAGUGAAGAUGCACGAAGAGUCUCUGGAUCUCAGCUGCCCUCGAGACUUCAUUGAUGCUUUCCUCAUCAAAAUGGAACAGGAACGACAGAAUGGCCAGUCAGAAUUUAACACUGAUAACUUGUUAGGAAGCACAAUGGAUUUAUUCUUUGCUGGAACAGGGACAUCGAGCCUCACCCUGAGACAUGGACUCCUGAUUCUUCUGAAAUACCCAGAAAUAGAAGCAAAAGUUCAUGAAGAGAUUGACCGUGUGAUUGGCCGGAGCCGAAGCCCCUGCAUGGCGGACCGAAGCCAGAUGCCCUACACAGAUGCUGUGAUACAUGAGAUGCAGAGAUUCAUUAACCUUGCCCCGAUGGGUGUCCCACAUGCAGUGACCAGAGACACUCAUUUCAGACAAUAUGUUAUCCCCAAGGGCACCACUGUAAUCCCUGUCCUGCAAUCGGUCCUAUAUGACAGCAGGGAAUUUCCAAACCCAGAGCAAUUUAACCCGGGACAUUUCUUGGAUGAAAAUGGUGCCUUUAAGAAGAGUGACUUCUUCAUGCCUUUUUCUGCAGGGAAACGGAUUUGCAUGGGAGAGGGUCUGGCUCGGAUGGAGAUAUUUUUGUUACUGACAACGAUUUUGCAGAAUUUUACCUUGAAAUCUCUCGUUGAACCCAAGGACGUUGAUAUAACUCCAGUGACGAAUUUUGGGUCAAAUGCACCAAAACCAUACCAGCUCUGUGUUUUGCCUCGAUAAAGACCAUGAAAAGCCACCUCAAUGACCUUGAAUGAAUUUGGUUGUCUAUGGUCCUGGAUUCAUUAAUACAGAAAUGAACUCAUUGUGCUGUAACAGAGACAGAUAAAUAACCCAGCUUUCUGCAUGUGUUUCAAUGAUCACAGGAUCUUCUCCUUCCCAGAGGCUAGUGAAGAUUAGAAAGGAAAAAAAACCACACUCGUGAUAAAAUGUUCUCUGAGCUCAUGCUGUCCUCCCACACUGACAGAGCACAGAUGAAUGCGUGGAGGCAAAUAAUGUCAGAGUGCAGGAAAGCACAGAAUGACCGGGAGGAGAGGUGGCGGGCUGAAGAGAGUAAGUGGCAGGCUGAAGCUCAAAUGUGGCGGCAGCGUGAUGAGAGGAGACAGGAUUCAAUGCUGAGGCUGCUGGAAGAUCAAACCAGUAUGCUCCAGUGUAUGGUUGAGCUGCAGCAAAGGCAGCUGGAGCACAGACUGCUGCUACAGCCCCUGUGUAACCAACCGCCCUCCUCCCCAAGUUCCAUAGCCUCCUCUCCCAGACGCCCAAGAACACAGUGGUGGGGCCUCUGGCCAACCAGCCACUCCACCACAGAGGAUUGCGCAAAAAACAGAAGGCUGGCAUUCAAUAAAUUUUAAAGUU